This 877-nucleotide ribosomal RNA is filed under the name uncultured eukaryote. RNAcentral's name for it is "SSU rRNA". It matches the Rfam family "Eukaryotic small subunit ribosomal RNA", at positions 636 to 1469 of the family's 1831-position model. The record is from RNAcentral.
CGGUGUUCAACUGGCGUGUCCGCGGGACGUCCUGCCGGUGGGCUUAGCCCGCAAGGGCGGCCCAACUUCAAAUCCCAUCGCGGUGCUCUUCACUGAGUGUCGAGGUGGGCCGGCACGUUUACUUUGAACAAAUUAGAGUGCUUAAAGCAGGCUAAAACUUCGCCUGAAUACUGUGUGCAUGGAAUAAUGGAAUAGGACCUCGGUUCUAUUUUGUUGGUUUUCGGAACCCCGAGGUAAUGAUUAAUAGGAACGGAUGGGGGCAUUCGUAUUGCGACGUUAGAGGUGAAAUUCUUGGAUCGUCGCAAGACGGACAGAAGCGAAAGCAUUUGCCAAAAACGCUUUCAUUGAUCAAGAACGAAAGUUAGAGGUUCGAAGGCGAUCAGAUACCGUCCUAGUUCUAACCAUAAACGAUGCCAGCUAGCGAUCCGUCGACGUUCCUCCGAUGACUCGACGGGCAGCUUCCGGGAAACCAAAGCUUUUGGGUUCCGGGGGAAGUAUGGUUGCAAAGCUGAAACUUAAAGGAAUUGACGGAAGGGCACCACCAGGAGUGGAGCCUGCGGCUUAAUUUGACUCAACACGGGAAACCUCACCAGGCCCGGACACCGGAAGGAUUGACAGAUUGAGAGCUCUUUCUUGAUUCGGUGGGUGGUGGUGCAUGGCCGUUCUUAGUUGGUGGAGCGAUUUGUCUGGUUAAUUCCGAUAACGAACGAGACUCUAGCCUGCUAACUAGGCGUAUUUUCGACAUCUCAAAGGUCCGUCGUCCCGGCCCUCGGGUCGUGGGCGUGCGCGAUUUUUACUGUCGGCGUACUAUCAAUUCUUCUUAGAGGGACAGGUGGCUUCUAGCCGCACGAGAUUGAGCAAUAACAGGUCUGUGAUG